RNAcentral lists this long non-coding RNA (205 nucleotides) under Pelobates cultripes (western spadefoot toad). Lineage: Eukaryota; Metazoa; Chordata; Amphibia; Anura; Pelobatidae. The record is from RNAcentral.
UUAUUUAUUAAUUGCAUCAAGGUUUCUUUCGUUAAUUGAUGUGUUUCUACCAAAUUCAAAUUCAUAUGCCACCAAAUGUCAUUGUAAAGUUCAUUGUUACAGAAUAUUGUUCCAGGAUGGUUUUUCACUCCAGUAGGAAAUCUAUUUUCCUCUUCUUCUGCUCCUUCCUAUUAACCACUUUUCGGAGUUGUAGGCAACAAUCUGU